GAUGAACGCUAGCGGCAGGCUUAACACAUGCAAGUCGAGGGGUAUUGGUUUUCGGACCAAGAGACCGGCGCACGGGUGCGUAACGCGUAUGCAAUCUACCUUUUGCAGAGGGAUAGCCCAGAGAAAUUUGGAUUAAUACCUCAUAGUAUAGUACUUUGGCAUCAAGGAACUAUUAAAGUCACAACGGCAAAAGAUGAGCAUGCGUCCAUUAGCUAGUUGGUAAGGUAACGGCUUACCAAGGCUACGAUGGGUAGGGUCCUGAGAGGGAGAUCCCCCACACUGGUACUGAGACACGGACCAGACUCCUACGGAGGCAGCAGUGAGGAAUAUUGGACAAUGGGCGCAAGCCUGAUCCAG
Molecule: ribosomal RNA, 357 nt
Filed under: uncultured bacterium
Lineage: Bacteria
Description: bacterial SSU rRNA
Rfam family: Bacterial small subunit ribosomal RNA
Source: RNAcentral